RNA transcript from Nematostella vectensis (starlet sea anemone), 2915 nucleotides. RefSeq lists it as uncharacterized. The record is from RefSeq and is a predicted model, not a curated record. The transcript is spliced from 5 exons. NCBI's taxonomy places the organism in Eukaryota, Metazoa, Cnidaria, Anthozoa, Actiniaria, Edwardsiidae.
CAAUAAUACCUUUGAUCAGUCAACACAAAAGGUGUUUAUGCUGGCUCCGCUUUUAGGCAGUGCCUAAAUCUAUAUAUUAUCUUUAUUUACCAAAAAAGAUGUUAAAUUUGAAAGUCACUUGUCGUGGUUAUGUCGUUCGCGGUAUGGCUGUGGGGUUUGUUUAUGUCGUUGCUACUGUGUUUUUGAUGCUCGGGAAAACCCACAGAAGAUGUUAAAUCUUGCGAAAAAGAAGGAAAAACGAGAAAAGAAAAGGAGCAAUGCUCGGAUGCAUCGUCACUUCGACGUGAAGGCCGUGAAACAUCGAGGGCAGCUGAUGUACCGGAAGAUUCGUGGCUUUGUUUACAGCACAGAAAUGAAGUCACACGCCAAGACAAACGUUGCUCUUGUCCUUCGUUCUGGGGACACGGUGGUGGUCUUGCUAAAAGUAAAAUCCCUACAAGGCUUUAUGUGGUUUUUGAUGAUGCAGGACGCAGGAUCUCCGGUUAUAAGCCGGAAACCAACUGAUGCAAUUUAUGCAGGAGGAAGGGAGACGAAAACUUCCGUGACCACGAAUUGUAUCACUCGAGUGACGCAUGACGGAAGGCAAGUUUACGCUUCGUAAAAGAGGUUAUCAACUAUCAAACCAAAACCACAGCACAAUAUACUUUAGGGUUGCACUGAAUAUGUGAAAUAUUGGAGUAAUAAUAUAUGCAAUUCCAUCCACAGAGAGCAGCAUGUGAUGACAGAAAUGUCAACCAGUCCAAAGAGUUCAAUCAGCAAGAUAUUGGAGACUACCCGUUCACCUGUGCAUCGCUUGUGCGACUCAUUGCAAAAUCCCUCCCAAGAUCCCCUAACCUCAUUAAAUAAUAUGCGAAAGCAUAUCAAAACUUUACUGCUUCCGACUAGAGCGCCUGACAAACAACGAAAUAUUGACGAGAAACCCCCUAGACCCCCUCUCCUGAAAUGCCCUGAUGACCCCCGUCGGUGAGGCCAGAAAAAAUGACCGAGGAGAUAUAGUUUUAAAUACCGAACAAUGGGGGCAGAUAAUGACUAGCUUAUAUCAAAAUAAAGAUGAGACACUUGACGAACAAGUAGUGACUCAGUACCACUAUAUGACCCAGCAACCACGAGACUUUGCCGAAAAGAAUGCCCCAGGGCUAUAUUCGACAAUUCUAAACAGCAUGACCAGAUGCAAGCAUUCAGCCCUCCAAGAGCAGCGCACUAUUACUCUGUUACACAUGUUGGCUUACUUUAGGUCUCAUUAGGAUAACCACUGGAUGGUGUUCCUCUUGGGUGAUUUCCACAACAUUUAUACAGUACAAUUACCAGAAAACACCAACCUAUCAGUGGCCACACACAUGGCAUCAUCCAUGCUCGAUAUUCAGCCAAACAUUCGAGCUGUUUCAAUCCCAAGGGACCCACAACAAAUUCACAGGAUUCACAGAGUAAACAUUGAUGGAGAUGAAAAAUUGUGUUGUGGUGGAAUUGUCCUCGAGUAUAUCAACAAUCUAUUGCUAAAGGGGCAAAGGAAGCAACAUAAGUCAUUCUUGGGUUCUCUUCCUGGUCCAUGCCUUAAUCUUAAAGCUCAUUCUAUUCAAGAACAGAUUAAAGAUUUUAGGGUAUAUUCAGGUUUAACUCAAGAUGAACUACACAAACUGGACACAUGUAAGCUGGUUGAUGAGUUUAAGGCAAACCUCAAGAGUAUGGAGGACUACCUAAAGGCAAUCAACCACACAUUUAGCAGCUGCAAUAUGCUUAAUAGCUUUAAAAGCAAACACAUCUUACCAAUGCCAGGGGACUGGCCUACAUGGUUUUAUUCAAAAAAGAUAACUGCCCAAUCACAAGAUGGAACUUACAAUUCAAUAAUACCAGAGCAAGGGGCUUUCCAUGUGGGCUUGAAGAGAGGAUGUAAUCAUCUUUAUUUAUCAUUUUUUCUUCAACAACAUUUACAAGCAAGUAUUUGGCUCAGAACUUCCUCUCGAACCCAAGCCCUUCAGAUCUAACUUUGUUAUUACUGCAACAAUGUGUGCAUGGCUUUUGAUACGAUCUAAAGUAAUGGCCAAAUUUGCCUUGUGCAAAGACUUGGAAUAUGUCUUCAUGCUAAACCAUCUGGAGGAAGUCCUACCUCUUACAUUUUAUCAGUAUGAUUGAAUCUUCCUGUCUGGCAAUCUUAACAGCUAUGUCGACACUAUGACUAGAUUGGCAAUUAUAUUUAUAAUAUGGGAAAGACACCACUAUGACAGGUCGACUCCAUCCAUGCUAAGUGAUCUAGAGCACCACCGCAUUAAUUUUCCACAGUAUUGAGUUCCACACUUCAAAGCUACACUGGUAAAUCAAAACAGGCAAGUUCACAAAAUGUCACGAUAGCAAAUGCCAUAAAAAACUAAAGUAAAUUGUGCCUGAAAAUGCCCCUCCCCUCUUAAGAAUUAGGAGGGAAGGAGGACACUAUGAGGUUUGGUCAAAUUAGGUCAUUUAGACUAAAGAUACAAAAAAAUAUUUCUCCUCCUCUCUCAGCUUUGAUUUGAUGUAACAAGAUCUAAUUGUCCGCCUUUUUUUCUGUAUUUCACAAUAUUUUGUUCCCACUUUGAGAAACAUCUGGAGCAGGGGAGCUCAAAAAGGGUUUUGCCGUUACAGUAGGGCGGUCAUUAUAAAAAACUAUGGUGAAGUUGCUCGGAGAACCAACCACCCAAGGUCAUAAAUCUUGAACAUUCCCUAUUCUUACAGCUUAUCCAUAACUGUUGGAGUUUGUAGGUUAAUCUGCAUACUUAAACACCAUUGUCAACAAACAAGACACCCCUUUAUCUAAUGAGCGUUAAACAUUUUGCCUUAACAGCUACCAAGGCAAGUAACUAAAGCCGGAAAACCGAAAGGGCAAACAGAAUUCCACCUAACCACAUUUAACCCAUUGACUCCUGGCUUUUUUGGAGCUGAAUUUA